Molecule: long non-coding RNA, 7520 nt
Filed under: Anthonomus grandis grandis
Lineage: Eukaryota; Metazoa; Arthropoda; Insecta; Coleoptera; Curculionidae
Description: uncharacterized LOC126748947
Source: RNAcentral
AAUUACUAGAUGUGAAGGUAAGCCAGAUAUAAUUCAAAAUCUCUAUCUGAUUCACCUUAACAACCUAAUAGUAAUUUUGUUUUCUUGCUAAGAAAAUAUUUUAUGACCCACUCUGAAAUGAUAAUUACCCUUCAUCUCCAUCACAAGGAACAGUGUAGCUUUACAAAUCAUCUAAUUGUAAUAAGUGGUAGUGAUAAACUAUUAAAAAAACGUUUAAUCUAUACCCUUACUACAAUCAAAUGAAUGUAAGUGACUUGAGUUAGUAUCUCUUUCCUGUUUUAUAUUUUAAUCAACCAGCAAUGAUUCACAAAAGAGUUUGCCUGACAAUAAAGAGAAACAAAAGGCGUAUUGUAGGAAUUUAAAACUACCAAAAAGACGCUUCUUAUCUCUCCUCAUCAUCAGGUAGGAAAAGUAUUUUGAAAUUAUUUAAAAAAUAAAUACAGAAAACUCACCUACUUUCCAGUAAACUUUCAUAGCAGAAGUUCUAGGCUCAACCUCCAACUUUCUGUUUUACAGUUUGCAUUUCUGUUUUCCUGAUUUUCACUGCUACACAUUCCUUAAAAUAAAAUGUGGUAAGUUCAGUUGGUACACCAAUAAACUUUUCAUAAGGUACCUUUUUCUAUUGGGCUGCAAAAAUUGGUGCAAAGUCGUCACAAACCCAACUAUACGAGUCAAAAUUUGAUAAUGCCAGGAAAUCAGUCACGUAACAAAAUCUGAGAAUAAUCGGGUGAUAAUAUUUAAGGAUCACCAUUAAGAUGUUUCGGCAUUUCUUGACUCUGCAACAAGUCCUGACGUACUCUCAAAAACCACGAAAGUCUAAACUGUCAUUGAACAUGAUUUUUGUAUUUCUAUCCCACUAGAAAAAAACAUGUUCACCUUGAUAUUCUUCCAACGAAUCUAGAAGUAUGGUUCCUAUCAAUAAAGAGAGAAAUAAGAGAAUAAUAAUUCAAAAUCUCUAUCUGAUUCACCUUAACAACCUAAUAGUAAUUUUGUUUUCUUGCUAAGAAAAUAUUUUAUAAACCACUCUGAAACCAUAAUUACCCUUCAUCUCCAUCGCAAGGAACAGUGUAGCUUCACAAAUCAUCUAAUUGUAAUAAGUGGUAGUGAUAAACUAUUAAAAGAACGUUUAAUCUAUACUCUUACUACAAUCAAAUGAAUGUGACUUGAGUUAGCACCUCCUUCCUGUUUUAUGUUUUAAUCAACCAGCAACAAAUCCUCAAAAGAGUUUGCCUGACAAUAAAGAGAAACAAAAGGCGUAUUGUAGGAAUUCAAAACUACCAAAAAGACGCUUCUUAUCUCUCUUCAUCAUCAGGUAUGAAAUAUUUUCCAGUAAUGGGGAAAGAUUCACAUAGGAUUCCUCGAAAGAAUUUUCCUCACAAUAAAGAGAGACAAAAGGCGCCUUAUAGGAAUUCAAAACUACCAAAAACACGCUUCUUAUCUCUCUUCAUCAUAAGGUAGGAAAUAUUUUCCAGUAAAUAUUCUGAAAUGCAAUUAUUUCAAAAGUAAUUACAGAAACUCACCUACUUUCCAGUAAACUUUCAUAGUAGAGGUUCUACGCAAUAAGCUCUAACUUUCUAUCUUACAGUUUGCAUUUCUGUUUCACUGAUAUUUGCUGCUUCAGAUUCCUUAAAAUAAAAUGUGCUAAGUUCAGUUGGUACACCAAUAAACCUUUCAUAAAGUACCUUUUUUAUUAGACUGCAAAAAGUGAUCCACAGUCGUCACAAAUCCAAGUAUACGAGUCAAAAUUUGAUAAUGCCAGGAAAUCAGUCACGUAAUAAAACCCCGAGGAUUUUAAGAUCACCAUAGGUUCCAUCAUAAUCUCUUUAAGAUGUUUUGACAAUUCUUAAAUUUGCAAGGAGUCCUGAUGUGGUUCCCAAAACCGCGAAUGUCUAAAUUGCCAAUAAACGCGAUUUUUGCAUCUCCAUUCCAUUAGAAAAGAAAUAUUUAGUAGUAUUGAUUAUCUUCCAACAAACGUCGAAGUAUAGUUCCUAAAAAUAAAAAAAAGGCCGAAAAGAAAGUUAGAGCUACCUUAGAUCAAUCUUCUUAUCUCUCUUUAUCUUUAGACAAUAAAAUACUUUCGAGUAAAAAUUCUAAAAAAAAAUUAGUUGUUUAUUUCAUAAAAGAGUACUCAGAUCACUCAUUUCCAAAAAUAAGGAGAGGUAUGAGGCGUGGCUUAGGAAUUCUAAGCUACCAUAAAGCAUGCUUCUUACCUCUCCUCAUCUUCAGCUCUGACUGCCAUCUGUACUCUUAAAAGAAAUUAUUAUUGAAAUACAAAUAACCAAUAGUUUCCAGUUAAUAAUCUAAAAGCAUAUUCAUCCCCCUUCAUUACACAAAGUCUAGGAUAGAAAAUGAUACCCUUUGUCAAAAAUACUCUACCGGUAUCCUUGUAUUGAUCCCCCUUCGUUCACCGACGGGUCUAGAAGACUUUCUGAAAAUAAAGAGAGAUGGGGGGUGAACUCAGAAAUUUAAAGCUACCCGAGAUCAAGCUCCUCACCUCUCCUCAUCUUCAGGUAGGGGGCUUCUAAGCGCCUCCAAGCAUACUGGAAAGGAAUUAUUAUUGAAAUACAAAUAAAAACUUAUGUAUUUUCUAGUAAAUUGAAGAGUAGAGGUAUUACAAACUAUGCUAAUUUCAAUCCUGUAAAAUAAAUGGUGAGAUCAGAAUAAUCGGGAAUGAAUGCGUCCAUUACACCGAUAUACUUUCAGCUACUGUUGUCUCUCCAAUAAGUUGAUAUGAUGUUGUUAUCCAAAAAUAAGAAGAAGCAAAAAACUCACAAAGGAAAUUCUGAACUACCUUUGAGCGAGAUUUUUACCUCUUCAUAUCUUAGAUAUUUUCCAGUUUCAAAAACACUAUACCGGUAUUCUUGUAUUGAUCCCCCUUCAUUCACCGGCGAGUCUAGAAGAUUUCUAAAAAUAAAGAGAGAUAAGUAGCGUGAAUUAGGAAUCUAAAAUACCUGAAUUCAAGCUUCUUAUCUCUCCUCGUCUUUAGGUAGAAAUUCUGAUCUGGACCUAAAGAGUUUCAACAAAUAUCCUGAAAGGAAAUUUAAAAAAUUCUGGAAAGAAAUUAUUAUUGAAAUACAUAACCAAUAUAUUUAUCUCUUCAUAUCUUUAGAAAAUACAUUUUCCAAUUAAUAAUCUUAAAAAUAUUAUUCUUGUUCAAAAAGACUAUACCGGUAUCCUUGUAUUGAUCACUCUUCAUUAAGCGACGAGUCCAGAAGAGCUUCUGAAAAUAAAGAAAAAUAAAAAGCCUCACUUAGGAAUCUAGAACUACCUAAAGUAAAGGCUUCUUAUCUUUCCUCAUCUUCAGGUAGGGGUUCGAGUGCAAUUAAGUAUUCUGGAAAGAAAUUUUUAUUUAAAUACAAAUAAAUACUCACGCUCUUUCUAGUAAACUGAGUAGCAGAGGGGUUUUAUGUCAUAAGUUCCUUCUUUCUACGGCAUCCCUCCUAUGCUAACUUAAUAAUUGCUAACUGGAACUACUAUAUAAUAUUAGAGACACACUUUUGAAUAAUUACGUAAUUAAAACCCAAUGGUGAAGUCUCAGAAUAAUCGAGAGUUAAUGCAUCCACUCAAAUAACCGAUUUACUUUGAGCUAUUUCAGUCACUCUUGCAUUUGCAAUGAGUUAUGAUGUUUGGUUAUCCAAAAAUAAAAAGAAACAAAAAACGCACAAAGGAAAUUCUAAACUACCCUUGAGCAAGAUUUUUAUCUCUUCAUAUCUUUAGAGAAUACAUAUUUUGCAGUUAAUAAUCUGAAAGAAAAAUAUUAUUCUUGUUCAAAAAUACUAUACCGGUAUCCUUGUAUUGAUUACUCUUUAUUAAGCGACGAGUCCAGAAGAGUUUCUAAAAAUAAAGAGAGAUAAAAAGCGUUAAUCAGGAAUCUAAAACUACCUGAGAUUAAGCUUCUUAUCUCUCCUCAUCUUCAGGUAGUUGUUCGGAUCUGAACUUUUUAAAGAGCUCUGAGAUUGAGGAAAUAUUCUGAAAGAAAAUUAUAGGUGAAAUAAAUAUAAAAACUCACCGUCUUUUGCAAGAAACUCUCAUAGGGAAAGAGUUGUUUGCCACAGGAACCACCUUUUCAGUUUACUAGUUAUUACUGUUAUGGAUUCCUCGAAAUAAAUUGAACGUGGCAUAGAAUACAUAACUUCUCAAUGUGGCGUAAAAAUUAACUCUCAUAGCGAUUUAACGAAUAUAGCAGCAUGUUUUCCAAAAAUAAAAGAAGAAGAGAAACCCGAAGAAGAAUUCAAAACUGCCUUUCAUCGGGAUUCUCUUCUUCCUUCAUUUCUAGACAAUGACACAUUAUCUAGUAUUCUAAAAAAGAAAUUAAUUAUUUCAAGUAUAAAAGAAUCUCUAGAUCACUUGUUCUUGAUCCGUCUUGAAACUGCGACGAAUUGCAAAGCAUGAUUUACCAAAAAUAAGGAAACACCAUAAAACACGCCCUUCAGUUUCCUCAUCUUCAGUUAAUAAAGUAAUUCUAAGUGGCACUAAGUAUUCUGGAAAAGAAAUUAUUACUGAAAUACAUAACCAAUAUUUUAUUCUCUUCAUAUCUUCAGAAAAUAAAUAUUUUUCAGUUAUUAAUAUAAAAGAAAAAUUAAAGAACCUAAACAGGUAUCUUUUUUUGAUCCCCCUUUAAUAAGCAACAAAUCUAGAAGAAUUUCUAAAAAUAAAAAAAGAUAAGGGGCGUAAUCUUGCAAUCGAGAGCUACCUAAGGCCAAGCUUCUUAUCCCUCUUCAUCUUCAGGUAAGGGUUCUGUUCUGAACCUAAAGAGAGCUCAGAGUUUCAGUAAAUAUUCUUAGGGAAAAUUACAAAUAAAAGACAUCUAGAGACUUACUUCUUUCCCAAAAGGGAAACUGCUAAGUUGAAUUGAUAGCUAAAUGAACUGAGGUCUCUGUAUUGAUCCAUCCUUCCACCAAAAAAUUAAGAGAGACUGAAAGGGUUAUCAAGGGUUUCAAAAACUACUGAAAGUUAAUUAAGCUUUUAAGGUAUGAGUUUCUAAAAAGAGAGACUCUAAAGAAGCCGCAGGAGAAAUUUAGGAGUACCUUUAGAUUUAAUGUUGCCUAAAUAAAUUUUACCAUAGUAUAUUAAAUAAACAACAGUAGCUCACCUAAGUAACUUAACAUUAUAUAGGGUGUUUCAGAACUAUGGGAUCAAACUUCUGGGGGUUGUUCAGUGCAACAGAAGAAUCCAUUUGAGUAUAGGAACCCAUGGCCGGAAAUGCGUCACCAUGCCACUACGGCCCUAAGACGCGUUAAAAUUUAUAAAAAAACAUUAAUUACCUAAAUAGGAUCUGCUGCAUUUAUUUUUACCUUUUGUACAUGAUACCAUAACAACAAUUGUUUAAAAUCAACGCUUAUCAAUGUCAAUUCGCAAUGUCAUGUUUAAAAAUUUUAUAGCUUACAAUUUUUAAACAUUUAUUGCUAAUGGAAAACUUUACCAAUCAAGAAUUGGCGGAUAUGAAUUUGGCAUACGGAGCAACAAACUGCAAUGCACGAGCAGCAUCACGGUUGUAUCAUGAACGUUAUCCCGAACGACAGCAUCCUGGAUACAAAAAGUUUAUUGCAGGCAUGUUUAAGAUCAAGAUGCAUGGAUACUGGUGUUGCUCGAACCGUAAAAACGGUCGAAUUUGAAGAAGAGGUGCUUCAGCGAGUUGCCGAUGAACCAUCAAAUAGCACACGUGACGUUGCUAAUAAUAUGAAUACGAGUAACGCUUCUGUCUGGCGGGUACUACACGAGAAACAACUCCAUCCUUACCACUUCCAGAAAGUUCAAGGUAUAACUGCAGCCGAUUAUCAUCCUAGAGUUCAAUUUUGUCGAUAGCUUCUGGAUCACAUCAUUGCACAACCAAAUUUUUUACGAUAUGUUUUGUGGACCGAUAAAGCCUCUUUCACAAGAGACGGUAUUUUUAAUAGUAGGAAUAGCCAUGUUUGGGACGAAGAAAAUCCUUAUGCAAUUUUUUCCAAGAAAACAUCAGAAUCGUUGGUCUGUCGACGUAUGGGCAGGCAUUCUUGAUGAUUAUUUAAUUAGGCCAUACCUUCUUCCGGAACGGUUAACAGGGCCUAUUUAUCUGCGUUUCUUGGAGGAAGUUCUCCCAGAACUCCUUGAAAAUGUUCCACUAAACGUUAGACAGCAAAUGUGGUGUCAGCAUGCUGGAGGGCCGGCUCACUUUGCUGUGCAAGUACGCGAGUAUUUGGUUCAGCGGUUUGGGCACCGUUGGAUUGCCAGAGGUGGAGCAGAUUCUUGGCCUCCUAGGUCACCCGAUUUAACGUCGCUCGAUUUUUUCUUGUGGGGACAUGUAAAGUCUUUAGUCUACGAAACUCCAGUAGAAUCAGACCUAGACUUAAUUGAACCAAUAACAGCAGCAUUUGAAGUAAUUCAAAACGAUGAUCAACUUUUUAGUGUAGUCCGCCGAAAUCAUGUGCGGCGUUUAAAUCGGUGUAUUGAGGUUGGAAGAAGACAUUUUGAACAAUUGUUGUGAUGGUAUCAUAUACAAAAGGUAAAGAUAAAUGCAUCAGAUCCUAUUUAGGUAAUUAAUAUUUUUUCUAAAUUUAAACUCGUCUUAGGGCCGUAGUGGCGUAGUGACACAUUUCCAGAAAUGGGUUCCUAUACUCAAAUGGAUUCUACUGUUGCACUGAACAACCCCUAGAAGUUUGAUCCCAUAGUUCUGAAACACCCUGUAUUAUAUGUUAUACUUGAACUGUAACUCACACUUUUAUAAGGUAAAAUGUUUGAUUUGAACCUGGGUAAAUCUACUUCGAACCGAGUUUAUUCCAAAAGAAUUCAGUAUUUUUAGACAAAAAUUCCCUUUAUAUAAGCCCUUCAAAGUUUCUGCAGUUAUGGGACCGUCCUGCAUACAAAAUAUUGUCAGCAUAUGUUAUAGCAGGAAUAUGUAAGUUGUAUUUUAGAAUAUAAUUUGGUGUUUUAGCUGGUGUAGCAGAUUUCGCUAGUGUACAUAUACAGAAGAACAAAGCAACUUUUUUUGGCAUUUUAAUACUCGUUUUCACCCUAAUAAUGUUGGCAUAUAAAAUUAUUUGCAUCAGUGUAUACCUACUAACAUUUAUCAUAAAAAAAACUAAACUAACCAUCUAAGCAAAUAUUAGAAUAGGAAAUAGUAUUUAAGUAUUACAUGUCAAACCCACGUGAUGUGGUUUCUCUUAACUUAUGUGAUUACAAGCUGAAAGUGUGUAUAAGUUUAAGAUCUAAUCUUAAAUAAAAAAUAAUAAUAUAGGAAAAAGACUAUCUUGUUCGAUUGUUAUGUAACAUAAACACUUUUCCAUCAUUAAGAAUAUUAAUUCCAUAAUAUACAUGUAAAAAAAACUGACAAUCUGUUUUGUCAUUGAUAGUAAAAGUUAGCAUUCUAACGUUUGAAGUAUGGCGUUUACUUUACAAUUUACAUAUAAAAUGACCGCCAUAUUCCAAAGCAACAUUUUAGUAGCGCCGUUUUGUAUCGUAUCCCAAGCUGUUGUACAAUUUUACUACAAUGGAUUGUAAGUUUGUUAAAAGAUUUCAAUUAAACUUUGAAAAAUUAUGUGUUA